This 478-nucleotide ribosomal RNA is filed under the name uncultured bacterium. Its description in RNAcentral is "partial 16S ribosomal RNA". It matches the Rfam family "Bacterial small subunit ribosomal RNA", at positions 28 to 523 of the family's 1533-position model. The record is from RNAcentral.
GACGAACGCUGGCGGCGUGCUUAACACAUGCAAGUCGAACGGUAAGGCCCUUCGGGGUACACGAGUGGCGAACGGGUGAGUAACACGUGGGUGAUCUGCCCUGCACUUCGGGAUAAGCCUGGGAAACUGGGUCUAAUACCGGAUAGGACUCCGGACUGCAUGGUCUGGGGUGGAAAGCUUUUGCGGUGUGGGAUGGGCCCGCGGCCUAUCAGCUUGUUGGUGGGGUGAUGGCCUACCAAGGCGACGACGGGUAGCCGGCCUGAGAGGGUGACCGGCAACACUGGGACUGAGAUACGGCCCAGACUCCUACGGGAGGCAGCAGUGGGAAAUAUUGCACAAUGGGCGCAAGCCUGAUGCAGCGACGCCGCGUGAGGGAUGACGGCCUUCGGGUUGUAAACCUCUUUCAGCAUCGACGAAGCGAAAGUGACGGUAGGUGCAGAAGAAGGACCGGCCAACUACGUGCCAGCCGCCGCGGUAA